Molecule: ribosomal RNA, 1247 nt
Filed under: Foxtail Yellow decline phytoplasma Bangi-3
Lineage: Bacteria; Bacillati; Mycoplasmatota; Mollicutes; Acholeplasmatales; Acholeplasmataceae
Description: bacterial SSU rRNA
Rfam family: Bacterial small subunit ribosomal RNA
Source: RNAcentral
GAAACGACUGCUAAGACUGGAUAGGAAAUUAGAAGGCAUCUUUUAAUUUUUAAAAGACCUUUUUCGAAAGGUAUACUUAAAGAGGGGCUUGCGGCACAUUAGUUAGUUGGUAGGGUAAAAGCCUACCAAGACCAUGAUGUGUAGCUGGACUGAGAGGUUGAACAGCCACAUUGGGACUGAGACACGGCCCAAACUCCUACGGGAGGCAGCAGUAGGGAAUUUUCGGCAAUGGAGGAAACUCUGACCGAGCAACGCCGCGUGAACGAUGAAGUAUUUCGGUAUGUAAAGUUCUUUUAUUGAAGAAGAAAGAAUAGUGGAAAAACUAUCUUGACGAUAUUCAAUGAAUAAGCCCCGGCAAACUAUGUGCCAGCAGCCGCGGUAAUACAUAGGGGGCGAGCGUUAUCCGGAAUUAUUGGGCGUAAAGGGUGCGUAGGCGGUUUGGUAAGUCUAUAGUUUAAUUUCAGUGCUUAACACUGUUCUGCUAUAGAAACUAUCAGACUAGAGUGAGAUAGAGGCAAGUGGAAUUCCAUGUGUAGCGGUAAAAUGCGUAAAUAUAUGGAGGAACACCAGAGGCGUAGGCGGCUUGCUGGGUCUUUACUGACGCUGAGGCACGAAAGCGUGGGGAGCAAACAGGAUUAGAUACCCUGGUAGUCCACGCCGUAAACGAUGAGUACUAAGUGUCGGGGAAACUCGGUACUGAAGUUAACACAUUAAGUACUCCGCCUGAGUAGUACGUACGCAAGUAUGAAACUUAAAGGAAUUGACGGGACUCCGCACAAGCGGUGGAUCAUGUUGUUUAAUUCGAAGAUACACGAAAAACCUUACCAGGUCCUGACAUACUCUGCAAAGCUAUAGCAAUAUAGUGGAGGUUAUCAGGGAUACAGGUGGUGCAUGGUUGUCGUCAGCUCGUGUCGUGAGAUGUUAGGUUAAGUCCUAAAACGAGCGCAACCCUUGUCACUAGUUGCCAGCAUGUUAUGAUGGGCACUUUAGUGAGACUGCCAAUGAAAAAUUGGAGGAAGGUGAGGAUCACGUCAAAUCAUCAUGCCCCUUAUGAUCUGGGCUACAAACGUGAUACAAUGGCUGUUACAAAGAGUAGCUAAAACGCGAGUUUAUAGCCAAUCUCAUAAAAGCAGUCUCAGUUCGGAUUGAAGUCUGCGACUCGACUUCAUGAAGUUGGAAUCGCUAGUAAUCGCGAAUCAGCAUGUCGCGGUGAAUACGUUCUCGGGGUUUGUACACACGGCCCGUCA